This 367-nucleotide ribosomal RNA is filed under the name uncultured bacterium. RNAcentral describes it as "bacterial SSU rRNA". It matches the Rfam family "Bacterial small subunit ribosomal RNA", at positions 72 to 422 of the family's 1533-position model. The record is from RNAcentral.
AGGGGGCUUCGGCCCCUGAGUAUAGCGGCGGACGGGUGAGUAACACGUGGGUAAUUUGCCCUUGGGUGUGGAAUAACUCAGGGAAACUUGAGCUAAUACCGCAUGACAUCCUUUUCCCAUAAGAGGAGAGGAUCAAAGCCGGGGACCCUUCGGGGCCUGGCGCCUGAGGAGAAGCCCGCGCCCGAUUAGCUAGUUGGUGAGGUAAUGGCUCACCAAGGCUUCGAUCGGUAGCCGGCCUGAGAGGGCGGACGGCCACACUGGGACUGAGACACGGCCCAGACUCCUACGGGAGGCAGCAGUGGGGAAUUUUUGUCAAUGGGGGAAACCCUGAACAAGCAACGCCGCGUGAAGGACGAAGACCUUCGGG